Molecule: ribosomal RNA, 2397 nt
Filed under: Phaloria sp. BYU-IGC-OR447
Lineage: Eukaryota; Metazoa; Arthropoda; Insecta; Orthoptera; Phalangopsidae
Description: eukaryotic LSU rRNA
Rfam family: Eukaryotic large subunit ribosomal RNA
Source: RNAcentral
GAGCGAACAGGGAAGAGCCCAGCACCGAAUCCCGCGGCCGACGGUCGCAGGGAAAUGUGGUGUUAGGGAGGUCGCUCGAAUCUUCCGCGCGCCGCGCGCGCUUCAAGUCCUCUUGAAAGGGGCCACGGCCCGCAGAGGGUGCCAGGCCCGUAGAGACGGGCGCGGCGCGCGGAAAGGGCCCUCCUAAGAGUCGGGUUGCUUGAGAUCGCAGCCCUAAGCAGGUGGUAAACUCCAUCUAASGCUAAAUACKACCACSAGACCGAUAGCGAACAAGUACCGUGAGGGAAAGUUGAAAAGAACUUUGAAGAGRGAGUUCAAGAGUACGUGAAASCGUUCAGGGGUARACGGAAGGUGCKCGAGCARACUARGCCGGGGAAACUCASGGCCGCCGCGUUUUCCGCCGGGRCGSGCGCCGUCGCCGAACCUGCCGCGGKCCGCUCCUCUCGGGGGGCGGUCCGGUCUAACGGCCGGGGAGGCGACUAGGCGGCGCGCGUUCAAUGGGCGGGAAGACCGAGCCCGCUCAGAUGAGGCGCGGCGGCCUGCACUUUUCCUUCGCCAUAGUGCGUCGCGAUCCGUUGGACGGCGCCCCAAGGCCCGGUGCGGCUUUCCUCGCGGGCGCCCUCCCUCGUCGGGGGGGGCGCGCCGAUCGGGGUGCGCCCGGUGUGCUCGCGGCGGAGCGGCUUUCGUCGGCGCUCUCGUCGCGGCGUCCCGGCCGCCGUGUAAGCCCGGUCCCGUAGCGGGGCCGGCGUUUGCGACGGUCAUGAAAUACGUGGAAGGAUACCGGCGCGUCGGAGGCCUUCGGGCCGAGGCGCGGCGGGUCGUCCCGGACGAGGUUGCAACGGGCGGCCGCGGCGGCCGCGCUCCGGGCUCACCGCCCUUUCCCGAGGGCGACCGGAGUAGCGCGGACGUCGAGCGAACCGCUCGGUGACAGGGGCGGGGGAAUUGAGCGAAAGCUCUUCCGUGAUCAAUCGGCGGCGUGAGUCUCGGGUUACCUUCCGACCCGUCUUGAAACACGGACCAAGGAGUCUAACAUGUGCGCGAGUCAAUGGGUCUCCCGAAACCCACAGGCGCAGUGAAAGCGAAGGCGCGUCCGCGGGCUCGCCCGCGGUCGCGCUCGGGGAGGAAGGACGGGGGGGACCGCCGCUGCGGCGCGGUCCCGAGCAGAGCCCCGUCCCGCACUCCCGGGGCGUCGUUCGCGGCGCACCCAGAGCGCACACGUUGGUACCCGAAAGAUGGUGAACUAUGCCUGGCCAGGACGAAGCCAGGGGAAACCCUGGUGGAGGUCCGUAGCGAUUCUGACGUGCAAAUCGAUCGUCUGAGCUGGGUAUAGGGGCGAAAGACUAAUCGAACCAUCUAGUAGCUGGUUCCCUCCGAAGUUUCCCUCAGGAUAGCUGGCGCCCGGGAACGAACGAACGGACAGAAUCUCGUCCGGUAAAGCGAAUGAUUAGAGGCCUUAGGGUCGAAACGGCCUUAACCUAUUCUCAAACUUUAAAUGGGCGAGCACCCCGGCAUGCUCGAAACGUUUGUAACGGCCGCGGCGGCAGCCCGCCGCUCGCGGCGGCGGCGCGGUUCUCCGCGUCGUCGUCGCGGCGUAGGCGGGUUCUCCCCCCAGCGAGCCGAUGAUGCCGGAGAAGGAUCACGGGCGCCUAGUGGGCCACUUUUGGUAAGCAGAACUGGCGCUGUGGGAUGAACCAAACGCCGAGUUAAGGCGCCUAAAUCGACGCUCAUGGGAGACCAUGAAGGGCGUUGUUUGCUUAAGACAGCAGGGCCGUGGCCAUGGAAGUCGGAAUCAGCUAAGGAGUGUGUAACAACUCACCUGCCGAAGCAACUAGCCCUGAAAAUGGAUGGCGCUGAAGCGUCGUGCCUAUACUCGGCCGCCGGCGGCAAGGCGAAGGGCGCCCCGCACGUCCCGCGUCGGGGGAAGGCCUGGUACCUUCGGGAGCCCUGUUAAGCCCCGGUGAGUAGGAGGGUCGCGGCGGUGAGCGCAGAAGGGUUGGGCGCGAGCCUGCCUGGAGCCGCCGUCGGUGCAGAUCUUGGUAGUAGUAGCAAAUACUCCAGCGAGGCCCUGGAGGGCUGAUGCGGAGAAGGGUUUCGUGUGAACAGCCGUUGCACACGAGUCAGUCGAUCCUAAGCCCUAGGAGAAAUCCGAUGUCGAUCGGGCCGCUCACACAGGCGGUGUCGGCCCGGUCGGGCGAAAGGGAAUCCGGUUCCUAUUCCGGAACCCGGUCGCGGAACCGUCUCACGUCGGGCCCCCUUCGCUUCGGCGAGGUGCUCGUUGGGGUAACCCAAACAGACCCGGAGAAGCCGUCGGGAAGUCGGGGAAGAGUUUUCUUUUCUGUUUGAGCGUUCGGGUUCCCUGGAAUUGCCUUGCGCAGAGAGAGGGAAUGGAGCGCGUAG